AUCGCAAGAGCUCUUAGUCACCUCAACUCUACUGGAACAAUACACGCAGAUCUGAAAUUAGAAAAUGUAAUGUUGGUGAAACAUCAACAAGAGCCAUACUGAAUUAAAGUAAUUGACUUCGGCCCGGCCUGUGAAACCUCAGCUGCCAAAGACCCGUCCUUACCAGUAAGUAGCUGGAAUCAAAUUUAAUUUCUUCCUCACACAGUCACACACACUUCAGUGUUUGUGCUUUAUGUUAGGGGUUUCUCAACUGUAGUAUAACUCAUACUCAAAUGGUCAGUAUUAACAAAAAAUGUAACAAUCAUUUCUUUUUGCCCUCCAUCAGGUCUCUAGAGAUUAUUCUGGAGCUUCUGUUUACAGAAGUCGUAGAUGUAUGGUCUCUGGGUACAUCUACGGCUGGGUACAUCUAUCCUAUUAGCAUUUUACUUAUUUUCUAACCCUUGAUUUUUAAUGUAUUGUAAAAUAUAAAUUUUGUUGUGCCCAUUUAUCCAAUGUGCUAACAAGUUCCCCAUCUUUUCAGACACUUGAGCAAUAUUUCCAAGUGUCUGGGGUUUGGUUCAUGGAGACAAGAGAAAUAAAGUUCUCUGGAUGACCUCUUCUAUGUAAGUAUACUUUUUGACCAUUUAGUUGGCAAAAAAAAGAACAUGUUUCUAUGGAGAACAUGACACACUCAAAUAAGUCUAUUUAGUUGACUUUUGUUGCUUUCUUCACCUUUCAGAUCACUGAGCAUCAGGAUUAUGCAAAUAAAACUGCUGAAAUGUUUGAUUUCCUGAUGUUUGUUGAAAUGGUGAAAAACUUGCUUCACCUCCAUCCCGAAAAACGGAUGACACCCCGUCAGGUGCGGGACCAUCCCUUUGCAAGAAUGCACCACCUUGCAUGCUUGCACCACCUUAGCUCCUACAUCAAGUCCUGCUUUGAGCACAUAAACGUCUUUAUUACAAAGAAAACAGCGACAUCAGAUAGCGGGACAGAAGUGUGUGGGUCUCUGCACCAGGCCACCUCUGACACCAGACAACCUGCCUAACAGAAGUUCCCUCCCCCUUCAGCUCAGAGGAGCAGCCCCAAUUCAUCAGGUCCAAUCACUGGAAAAAUGCUGAGACAUUUCCAAUCAAAUCACAGUUUAAAAGAAAGAGUCUUGAAGAAGAUAUAAAGGAUAUGGGUGGGCCAGAGCUUAAAAGAAAAAUGACUGAUUGGAAAAACGCAAGCAGAAAAAUACCAUAUCGACGUGAAAGGUCACAUCAUGACCAGAACAAAUGCCAUUAUUCAUCGGGUCCAUCUUGCGCAACCAGUGGCUCUCGGCAAGCCAGACCAAACCUACUUUGACAGGUCAAAUAAGAGGGCCAGAGCAAACUACAAAGAUGAUAAGAGCCACAUCUUCGUUAACACCAUACACUACACCUACUACUACCUCCCUGCACCCAAGAAAAUGCUAAAUAAACCAGCUGUGAUACUGGUGACUGUUCUUGAUCAGUGAUUUUUUUGUUUUGUUUUGUUUUUUUAGUCACCGUCUAGACUUUUGUUUCUGUAAUUUGAGGUCAUCACAUUUUUUAUUUUACUAUUUUUAUAUGUUAUAAGCACAAAAGAGCACCUUUUUAAUUUCAGUUGUUUUAUUUUGUCUUGUGAAUUCUUGCUUGAUGUCCUUUUUUAUCUUUUGUUUGUUAAAGGUCUAGUAUUGAUCACGGAAAGAGGCUUACUGUCACAGUAUUAUCAUUUGUGAAAAACCUCUGUGUGUAACUGAUGGCUAAAAUUCUUUUUCCCUUUGAUUCAGAUUUCUUGUAUUCAAAGUAGAAUAAAAAUAUUGAAUAACUAAACCCGUUCAAGUUUAGGCACUGUAUGGUUGAAAAUAACAUUUGUUUUUGGAGGUUAUUUAAAUAUAAUAAUAAUAAUAAUAAUGGAUUGCAUUUAUAUAGCGCUUUUCGGGACCCCUCAAAGCGCUUUACAAUACCACUAUUCAUUCACUCUCACAAUAUAUCGUGAUAUGUAUCGUGUAUCGUGAUAUAGCCAAAAAAUAUUGUGAAAAAUGUGCCAAAUAUUUUAUUCUGCUAUUGACUCUUGUUUUAAGCUUCUUGUACCCCAGAUACUGUGAGCAUGAACUCUGCUACAGUAGUCAGCUGGUGUCUGAUCCAAGCACGACACAUUUGAAUGGUCUACAUAUCGUAUGUACUAUAUGGCAGAAAGCUAUAUUACAGUGUUGAAAACCGAAAAAAUACGCAGGUUAAGCAAAAUACAAGAACUCAAAUGGAGUCUGAGCUUUUGUUUUUUUAAUUAAUCAAUUAAUUGAUUUUAAACUUUAAUUUGAGAAAUUUGUUGUGCAAGAACAACAACAACAAAAAAAAAUAUCAGAAGCUUCUCAUUUUAGCUGUAUUUGCAUAUGGGGAAAAAUGCUCACAGCUCAUUCUGAGUUCUUUUGUAGACCUGAAACAGGCCAAGUAUAAAAUCACUCUUACUGUAAGGUUAAUUACAGUUUAAGUAGAGUUAGCAGUUAUUCUCAGAAGGUUAACACUGUAAGUCUGUCUUUUGGAAUUAAAACAAGCUUAAAGUAAACCAU
RNAcentral lists this long non-coding RNA (2548 nucleotides) under Oreochromis niloticus (Nile tilapia). RNAcentral's name for it is "lncRNA (ENSONIG00000034293.1)". The record is from RNAcentral. Lineage: Eukaryota; Metazoa; Chordata; Actinopteri; Cichliformes; Cichlidae.